AAGCAGAUGAUCAUAACCAGUUUCCUUGGUCACUGCCUUACCAGUCAGGAGAUACCUAACUCUGCACCACGUCAGCACCGUGUUCAGGUGCACCAGAGCCUCUCAGACCAUCAGUUCUGGGAGAUGCAGACCAACACUCCACAGGUUCAUGAUGUUCUCUGCAUCUGGUGAUGCCAGCAGCCGCAGGUACGAGUGCAUGCAUACGUGUGAAGGUCUUCUGGGUUGCUGCGCCAUGAAUUUUCACACAUCCGAGACUGUCAGCAUGGAACCUUUAAGGCCAAGGAUGCAGAGGGAUGGCUGUCAGCUUCUGUUGAUGGGUAGCAGCCUCAGCUCAUCACUGAGGCUCUCACAGGAGAGACGUGCGGGUCGCAGUCCGAGAGGGCGCUGGAUGCGGGGAGCCCGGGUGGUCCCCGCGGGGCUGCGGUGGCGGCGGCGGCUCGGCCCCGGCCCCGGUCCCGGCUCGGCCGGAGGCACAGGUGCCGCCCGGGCACGGGCUCCCCCUUCGCCCCCGCCGGAGGCCGAGACCUGCUUCCUCCGGCAGC
Molecule: long non-coding RNA, 542 nt
Filed under: Cyanistes caeruleus (blue tit)
Lineage: Eukaryota; Metazoa; Chordata; Aves; Passeriformes; Paridae
Description: lncRNA (ENSCCEG00000012137.1)
Source: RNAcentral